RNAcentral lists this ribosomal RNA (431 nucleotides) under uncultured bacterium. RNAcentral's name for it is "partial 16S ribosomal RNA". It matches the Rfam family "Bacterial small subunit ribosomal RNA", at positions 29 to 507 of the family's 1533-position model. The record is from RNAcentral.
AACGAACGCUGGCGGCAGGCUUAACACAUGCAAGUCGAGCGCCCCGCCAGGGGAGCGGCCGACGGGUGAGUAACGCGUGGGAACGCACCUUUUGGUUCGGAACAACUCCGGGAAACUGGAGCUAAUACCGGAUAAGCCCUAACGGGGAAAGAUUUAUCGCCGAAAGAUCGGCCCGCGUCUGAUUAGCUAGUUGGUGAGGUAACGGCUCACCAAGGCGACGAUCAGUAGCUGGUCUGAGAGGAUGAUCAGCCACACUGGGACUGAGACACGGCCCAGACUCCUACGGGAGGCAGCAGUGGGGAAUAUUGGACAAUGGGCGCAAGCCUGAUCCAGCCAUGCCGCGUGAGUGAUGAAGGCCUUAGGGUUGUAAAGCUCUUUUGUCCGGGAAGAUAAUGACUGUACCGGAAGAAUAAGCCCCGGCUAACUUCGUG